AGCACAUGCCCAGGAAGGCAAAGGGAAGAAGGGUGGGGGGUAACCCCCUGCCCUCUCCUGGGAGAACGAGGGAGCCACUCCUAGCCUGGGGAGGCCCUGGAAUGGAAACUGGGGCUGUAGACUCCAUGCUUGGUUCUGCCCAGAGCACUUGGUCUCCUUGUGCCAGCUCUGAGCUAAGAAAGGGAGAGAGGAGAGAGAGCCAGCCAGAGGGGCCGUGGAGAGGAGAGACGUUUCAGAGCCCUUGCCUCCUUCACCAUGCCGGUUGCCGCCACCAACUCUGAAACUGCCAUGCAGCAAGUCCUGGACAACUUGGGAUCCCUCCCCAGUGCCACGGGGGCUGCAGAGCUGGACCUGAUCUUCCUUCGAGGCAUUAUGGAAAGUCCCAUAGUAAGAUCCCUGGCCAAGGCCCAUGAGAGGCUGGAGGAGACGAAGCUGGAGGCCGUGAGAGACAACAACCUGGAGCUGGUGCAGGAGAUCCUGCGGGACCUGGCGCAGCUGGCUGAGCAGAGCAGCACAGCCGCCGAGCUGGCCCACAUCCUCCAGGAGCCCCACUUCCAGUCCCUCCUGGAGACGCACGACUCUGUGGCCUCAA
RNAcentral lists this long non-coding RNA (592 nucleotides) under Homo sapiens (human). RNAcentral describes it as "non-protein coding lnc-PPY-2:1". The record is from RNAcentral. Lineage: Eukaryota; Metazoa; Chordata; Mammalia; Primates; Hominidae.